Non-coding RNA from Mauremys reevesii (Reeves's turtle), 454 nucleotides. Lineage: Eukaryota; Metazoa; Chordata; Testudines; Geoemydidae. The record is from the annotation of a RefSeq genome assembly.
GACACAAUCCGCAGCCCCUGGGUCUGUGCAGUGACCAGCCAGUCCCUGAGAACUUUCCCCUCCAGCAUCAGGGAAAAUGGGAUUUUUGCUCCUUGUAAUUUUCGCGGUAGCCUCUUUGGAAGGUGUCCGGUCCCAGGUGCAGCUGGUGGAGUCCGGAGGGGAUGUGAAAAAGCCCGGAGACUCUCUCCGCCUCUCCUGCAAAGCCUCCGGGUUCACCUUCAGCAGCUACCGGAUGGACUGGGUCCGACAGGCUCCCGGGAAGGGGCUGGAGUGGGUUUCAAGCAUUUACAGUGAUGGGAGCCAACAAUUUUACGCAGACUCAGUGAAAGGCCGAUUCACCAUCUCCAGAGACAACCCCAACAACCUGCUGUAUCUGCAAAUGACCGGCCUGAAGCCCGAGGACACCGCCCGCUAUUACUGUGCGAGAUACACAGUGAAACGAAACCGGUCCUAA